UCCGGUUUAUCACCAGCAGUCUCCUUAAAGUUCCCACCAUUACGUGCUGGCAAAUAAGGACAAGGGUUGCGCUCGUUACGGGACUUAACCCAACAUUUCACAACACGAGCUGACGACAGCCAUGCAGCACCUGUCUCAAAGUUCCCUAAGGCACCCUUUCAUCUCUGAAAAGUACUUUGGAUGUCAAGAGUAGGUAAGGUUCUUCGCGUUGCAUCGAAUUAAACCACAUGCUCCACCGCUUGUGCGGGCCCCCGUCAAUUCAUUUGAGUUUUAGCCUUGCGGCCGUACUCCCCAGGCGAUCAACUUAUCGCGUUAGCUACGCCACCAAAUUCUUUAAUAAUCCAACGGCUAGUUGAUAUCGUUUACAGCGUGGACUAC
This 378-nucleotide unclassified non-coding RNA is filed under the name uncultured Halomonadaceae bacterium. Its description in RNAcentral is "contains 16S-23S intergenic spacer region". The record is from RNAcentral. Lineage: Bacteria; Pseudomonadati; Pseudomonadota; Gammaproteobacteria; Oceanospirillales; Halomonadaceae.